This 410-nucleotide ribosomal RNA is filed under the name bacterium. Its description in RNAcentral is "partial 16S ribosomal RNA". It matches the Rfam family "Bacterial small subunit ribosomal RNA", at positions 355 to 776 of the family's 1533-position model. The record is from RNAcentral.
UGGGGAAUUUUGCACAAUGGGCGGAAGCCUGAUGCAGCGACGCCGUGUGGGGGAUGAAGGCCUUCGGGUUGUAAACUCCUUUCGUCAGGGACGAAGUUUGUUUGACGGUACCUGGAUAAGAAGCACCGGCUAACUACGUGCCAGCAGCCGCGGUAAUACGUAGGGUGCGAGCGUUGUCCGGAUUUACUGGGCGUAAAGGGCUCGUUGGUGGUGUGUUGCGUCGUCUGUGUAAUCCAGGGGCUUAACUUUUGGUUGGCAGGCGAUACGGGCAUUGCUUGAGUGCUGUAGGGGAGACUGGAAUUCCUGGUGUAGCGGUGAAAUGCGCAGAUAUCAGGAGGAACACCGAUGGCGAAGGCAGGUCUCUGGGCAGUUACUGACGCUGAGGAGCGAGAGCAUGGGUAGCGAACAGG